This is a long non-coding RNA of Arabidopsis lyrata subsp. lyrata, 957 nucleotides long. RefSeq lists it as uncharacterized. The record is from RefSeq and is a predicted model, not a curated record. NCBI's taxonomy places the organism in Eukaryota, Viridiplantae, Streptophyta, Magnoliopsida, Brassicales, Brassicaceae. The transcript is spliced from 5 exons.
UUAUCUGGGAAGAUACUCCUUUUUGUUCUUUGUCUGAAACCUUCGACAAUUUUCCAAUCUGAGAAAAUAAUCUUUGUCGGCCGAUCGACGAAGCUGUAUCGAAAUCCAUCCGAAAUCCACUUCCAUCGUCUUCGCUUAUACAUCAAUUCUUUGCAAAUUAUAAGAUCUUAAAAGAGAUUAGUAGCCAUAUUUCGAUGGUUUCUCAAAAGAAGAAGAAUAACGAAGAUAAGUUUUUUUAUCCAGAUUAUUGUAUAACUUGAGAACUUUAUUGCGAAAUGCUCCUGCUUCAUUAUUCUUUAGCUGAAUGUUAGAUUCAUGAUACAAAGUUCAAUGUUUGCAGGCGAAGUACAAUUUUGCGCACAUAAUUCUUAUGGAGCUGAAGCAGUAACAGUUCAAUUUGGAGCAUUCUUGAAAUAUAAUUUGACAAAUGAUCGGUUUGAAGUUGGAUUCUUAAGGAGGGAAGAGAUUUGGUGUUGUAAUUGGAGGUUUUCAGAGAUCUAUAUUUAAAAGAUGUAUCAGCAAGAAUCAUCUCGACAGUCUCCCCGGAGUAUUGGGUGUAUUGAGUCCAUGAAUGGACGAUUUUCACUUGGAUCUUCCAUUGAGUCUUGAAUGGUUUGACUGCAUUAAGUUCUGUGAUGGGAAGAGCCAUUGUUUGAGAGAUCUACUAAAUGCGAGAGAAAUAUAAAGGCCCAACAUCGACUAAGCCCAGUAAGCUCAUUAUGCACUUCUGGAUAGAGAUCCGACUGCUGGCUCCAAGAUCCGCUGGUAAUGGAUCCAAGAUCCGCGUGUAAUUGGCCUUAAAAUUGUCUAUUAUACCCUCUGACGAUUUCUGUUUUUUAGUCGUUGAUUUUAAAUUUUCCAAUGGCAUUAUAUUGUAAUUUUUUACACUUUAUAGGGUUAGUUUAGUUAGAAUGAUUCCCUUUUAAUAGUAUAGAUUUAUCAUUUGUUUCCUACAUA